GACGAACGCUGGCGGCGUGCUUAACACAUGCAAGUCGAACGGUGAACCUCUUCGGAGGGGAUCAGUGGCGAACGGGUGAGUAACACGUGGGCAACCUGCCCCCGGCUCUGGGAUAACUCCAAGAAAUUGGGGCUAAUACCGGAUGUUCACCGCUUCCCGCAUGGGUGGUGGUGGAAAGGGUUUCCGGCUGGGGAUGGGCCCGCGGCCUAUCAGCUUGUUGGUGGGGUAGUGGCCUACCAAGGCGACGACGGGUAGCCGGCCUGAGAGGGUGACCGGCCACACUGGGACUGAGACACGGCCCAGACUCCUACGGGAGGCAGCAGUGGGGAAUAUUGCGCAAUGGGCGGAAGCCUUACGCAGCGACGCCGCGUGGGGGAUGACGGCCUUCGGGUUGUAAACCUCUUUCAGCAGGGACGAAGCGCAAGUGACGGUACCUGCAGAAGAAGCACCGGCCAACUACGUG
This 463-nucleotide ribosomal RNA is filed under the name uncultured bacterium. RNAcentral's name for it is "partial 16S ribosomal RNA". It matches the Rfam family "Bacterial small subunit ribosomal RNA", at positions 28 to 507 of the family's 1533-position model. The record is from RNAcentral.